UGACUCUGGGAUAAGCGCUGGAAACGGCGUCUAAUACUGGAUAUGUGACGUGACCGCAUGGUCUGCGUCUGGAAAGAAUUUCGGUUGGGGAUGGGCUCGCGGCCUAUCAGCUUGUUGGUGAGGUAAUGGCUCACCAAGGCGUCGACGGGUAGCCGGCCUGAGAGGGUGACCGGCCACACUGGGACUGAGACACGGCCCAGACUCCUACGGGAGGCAGCAGUGGGGAAUAUUGCACAAUGGGCGCAAGCCUGAUGCAGCAACGCCGCGUGAGGGAUGACGGCCUUCGGGUUGUAAACCUCUUUUAGCAGGGAAGAAGCGAAAGUGACGGUACCUGCAGAAAAAGCGCCGGCUAACUACGUGCCAGCAGCCGCGGUAAUACGUAGGGCGCAAGCGUUAUCCGGAAUUAUUGGGCGUAAAGAGCUCGUAGGCGGUUUGUCGCGUCUGCUGUGAAAUCCCGAGGCUCAACCUCGGGC
Molecule: ribosomal RNA, 473 nt
Filed under: Microbacterium luteolum
Lineage: Bacteria; Bacillati; Actinomycetota; Actinomycetes; Micrococcales; Microbacteriaceae
Description: bacterial SSU rRNA
Rfam family: Bacterial small subunit ribosomal RNA
Source: RNAcentral